UGGCCAGACUCCUACGGGAGGCAGCAGUGAGGAAUAUUGGUCAAUGGGCGGAAGCCUGAACCAGCCAAGUCGCGUGAGGGAAUAAGGCCCUACGGGUCGUAAACCUCUUUUGCCGGGGAGCAAGGGCGGGGACGUGUCCCGGCCCGGAGAGUACCCGGAGAAAAGGCAUCGGCUAACUCCGUGCCAGCAGCCGCGGUAAUACGGAGGGUGCGAGCGUUAAUCGGAAUUACUGGGCGUAAAGCGCACGUAGGCUGUUGUGUAAGUCAGGGGUGAACUCCCACGGCUCAACCGUGGAACUGCCCUUGAUACUGCAUGACUGGAAUCCGGGAGAGGGUGGCGGAAUUCCAGGUGUAGGAGUGAAAUCCGUAGAUAUCUGGAGGAACAUCAGUGGCGAAGGCGGCCACCUGGACCGGUAUUGACGCUGAGGUGCGAAAGCGUGGGGAGCAAACAGGAUUAGAUACCCCAGUAAU
RNAcentral lists this ribosomal RNA (470 nucleotides) under uncultured bacterium. RNAcentral describes it as "bacterial SSU rRNA". It matches the Rfam family "Bacterial small subunit ribosomal RNA", at positions 328 to 794 of the family's 1533-position model. The record is from RNAcentral.